RNAcentral lists this ribosomal RNA (304 nucleotides) under uncultured bacterium. RNAcentral's name for it is "partial 16S ribosomal RNA". It matches the Rfam family "Bacterial small subunit ribosomal RNA", at positions 506 to 807 of the family's 1533-position model. The record is from RNAcentral.
CAGCAGUAGCCACGGUAAUACGUAGGGUGCAAGCGUUAAUCGGAAUUACUGGGCGUAAAGCGUGCGCAGGCGGUUAUAUAAGACAGAUGUGAAAUCCCCGGGCUCAACCUGGGAACUGCAUUUGUGACUGUAUAGCUAGAGUACGGCAGAGGGGGAUGGAAUUCCGCGUGUAGCAGUGAAAUGCGUAGAUAUGCGGAGGAACACCGAUGGCGAAGGCAAUCCCCUGGGCCUGUACUGACGCUCAUGCACGAAAGCGUGGGGAGCAAACAGGAUUAGAUACCCGGGUAGUCCCUGUCUCUUAUAC